Molecule: non-coding RNA, 942 nt
Organism: Oncorhynchus mykiss (rainbow trout)
Lineage: Eukaryota; Metazoa; Chordata; Actinopteri; Salmoniformes; Salmonidae
Source: RefSeq, a predicted model, not a curated record
UAUUGUCUGCAAGAAUCCAACACAUAGGCCUACAUAUCGUCUGCAAGAAUCCAACACAUAGGCCUACAUAUCGUCUGCAAGAAUCCAACACAUAGGCCUACAUAUCGUCUGCAAGAAUCCAACACCUAGGCCUACAUAUCGUCUGCAAGAAUCCAACACAUAGGCCCACAUAUCGUCUGCAAGACACAUAGGCCUACAUAUCAACACAUAGGCCUAUAUAUCGUCUGCAAGAAUCCAACACAUAGGCCUACAUAUCGUCUGCAAGAAUGAACCUACCAGUACAUGGAGUGUAGGAAUGGAGUGUGAGUGAGUGAAUCAGAUAGGUUCCUCAGUAUUCCAACCUCAACCCAACUCCUCUGAGCCCAUACAGACUUCUGUACCUCUAGCAAUGGAUGUUUAAUACAGUGUAGGUAUGCUUUGGGAAGUUUUAGAGGUAUACACACCGCAGAUAGAAACCACUGGUUGACCUAGAGGUUUAGAGGUAUACACACCGCAGAUAGAAACCACUGAUUGACCUAGAGGUUUAGAGGUAUACACACCGCAGAUAGAAACCACUGGUUGACCUAGAGGUAUACACACCGCAGAUAGAAACCACUGGUUGACCUAGAGGUAUACACACCGCAGAUAGAAACCACUGGUUGACCUAGAGUUUUAGAGGUAUACACACCGCAGAUAGAAACCACUGGUUGACCUAGAGGUUUAGAGGUAUACACACCGCAGAUAGAAACCACUGAUUGACCUAGAGGUUUAGAGGUAUACACACCGCAGAUAGAAACCACUGAUUGACCUAGAGGUUUAGAGGUAUACACACCGCAGAUAGAAACCACUGGUUGACCUAGAGGUAUACACACCGCAGAUAGAAACCACUGGUUGACCUAGAGGUCAGGGAGCCACUCUUCUAUAACGCUGUACUGGUGAGAGUUUUACUGUCUGUCAGGAGAC